RNAcentral lists this long non-coding RNA (234 nucleotides) under Homo sapiens (human). RNAcentral describes it as "HSALNT0352427". Lineage: Eukaryota; Metazoa; Chordata; Mammalia; Primates; Hominidae. The record is from RNAcentral.
CAUUUCAUCUCGUUUCAUCUCAUUUCAUCUCAUCUCACCUCAUCAUUUCAUCUCAUCCUUUCAUUUCAUCUCAUCGUUUCAUCUCACCUCAGCAUUUCAUCAUUUCAUCUCAUCAUUUAUUUCAUCUCAUCUCAUUUCAUCAUUUCAUCUCAUCAUUUCUUAUCUCAUCAUUUCCAUUUCAUUUUCAUUUCAUUAUUUCAUCAUUUCAUUAUUUUAUUUCAUCUCAUUUCAUUA